GCGGAUGAACUGUGGGUAGCGGAGAAAUUCCAAUCGAACCCGGAGAUAGCUGGUUCUCUCCGAAAUAGCUUUAGGGCUAGCCUUGAAAUAGAUUACCGGAGGUAAAGCACUGAAUUGGCUAGGGGCCGAGAGGUUACUGAACCUUAUCAAACUAAGAAUGCCGGAUAAUCGUUUUUCAGGAGUCAGACAGUGGGAGAUAAGUUUCAUUGUCAAAAGGGAAACAGCCCAGACCCACAGCUAAGGUCCCCAAGUAUAGUUAAGUGGAAAAGGAUGUGGAAUUGCACAGACAACCAGGAUGUUGGCUUAGAAGCAGCCACUCAUUAAAAGAGUGCGUAAUAGCUCACUGGUCGAGUGACUCUGCGCCGAAAAUUUAACGGGGCUAAACUAUACACCGAAGCUUGGGAUACAUCUAAUGUAUGGUAGGAGAGCGUUCUGUAUGGGGAGAAGUCGUAGCGAAAGCGGCGGUGGACUAUACAGAAGUGAGAAUGCCGGAAUAAGUAGCGAGAAUUAAGUGAGAAUCUUAAUGGCCGAAAGUCUAAGGUUUUUGGAGGAAGGUUCGUCCGCUCCAAGUAAGUCGGGAGCUAAGGUCAGGCCGAAAGGCGUAGCCGAUGCACAUACGGUUGAUAUUCCGUAACCAUCUGUAAUUUAAGCAAAGGGACACUUCAAAAGGGUGUGACCCGGGCGUUGGUUGACCCGGGCGUAAGGGACCGAAAUUAGAGUAGGGAAGCACACUUAGCUGAAGGCGAGAAAAGCUUUGCGUAUAGAAACAGAUGCCCGUACCGCAAACCGACACAGGUGGACAGGAAGAGAAUUCUAAGGCCAGCGGGAGAAGGGUAGUUAAGGAACUCGGCAAAUUGACUCCGUAACUUCGGAAUAAGGAGUGCUCGAAAGAGCCGCAGAGAAUAGGCCCAGGCGACUGUUUAGCAAAAACACAGGUCUCUGCCAAAUCGAAAGAUGAAGUAUAGGGGCUGACACCUGCCCGGUGCCGGAAGGUUAAGAGGAGGAGUGAGAGCUCCGAAUUGAAGCCCCGGUAAACGGCGGCCGUAACUAUAACGGUCCUAAGGUAGCGAAAUUCCUUGUCGGGUAAGUUCCGACCCGCACGAAUGGUGUAACGAUCUGGGCACUGUCUCAACUACCCACCCGGCGAAAUUGUAGUACCGGUGAAGAUGCCGGUUACCUGCGGCAAGACGGAAAGACCCCAUGGAGCUUUACUGUAGCCUGAUAUUGGGUUUCGGAAAUCUAUGUACAGGAUAGGCGGGAGACUAGGAAACAUGAGCGUCAGCUUGUGUGGAGUCGAUGUUGGGAUACCGCCCUUAGGUUUCUGGAAUUCUAACCUGCGGCCGUGAAUCCGGUCGGGGGACAUUGUCAGGUGGGCAGUUUGACUGGGGCGGUCGCCUCCGAAAAGGUAACGGAGGCGCUCAAAGGUUAGCUCAGCACGGACGGAAACCGUGCCUCUGAGUGUAAACGCAAAAGCUAGCCUAACUGCGAGGGUGACGGCCCGAGCAGUAACGAAAGUUGGAGUUAGUGAUCCGGCGGUAUGUGAAUGGAAAUGCCGUCGCUCAACGGAUAAAAGCUACCCUGGGGAUAACAGGCUGAUCUCCCCCAAGAGUCCACAUCGACGGGGAGGUU
This 1629-nucleotide ribosomal RNA is filed under the name human gut metagenome. Its description in RNAcentral is "bacterial LSU rRNA". It matches the Rfam family "Bacterial large subunit ribosomal RNA", at positions 800 to 2518 of the family's 2925-position model. The record is from RNAcentral.